AUGCUGCUGCUGGAGAUGGUCCUCUUCUCUGGCCUAUGGGCAUGUGGACUUGGGCAGGUGGAACAACCUGAAAUGUCAAUUUCCAGAGCAACCGACGAGAGUGUCCAAAUACCAUGUAAGGUGUCCCUCCAAAACUUUGAAAGUGCAGUUGUACACUGGUACCGGCAGAAACCAAAUCAAGGUUUAGAACACCUAAUUUACAUUUCGACAACCACUGCUCAAGGUCACUUAGGUGGGAAGAGGAACAAACUCGAGGCAAGUAAAAAUUCUCGUACUUCCACUGCGACCUUGAAAAUACAUUUCUUAGAGAAAGAAGAUGAGGCCAUAUAUUACUGUGCCUGUUGGGUUAAGCACAGUAAUGUCUGGAUCAAGAUAUUUGGAGAUGGCACUAAGCUCACAGUAACACCUCCCGGUAAAACCCCUGCUGGAGACAUUUUCCCCAAGCCCACUAUUUUUCUUCCGUCAAUUGCUGAAACAAACCUCCAUAAGGCUGGAACACAUCUUUGUUUUCUUGAGAAUUUUUUCCCUGACGUUAUUAAAGUGUAUUGGAAAGAAAAAAAUGGCAAUACAAUUCUGGAAUCUCAGCAGGGAAAUACCAUGAAGACUAACAACACGUACAUGAAAUUGAGCUGGCUGACAGUGACUGAAAAGUCACUAGAUAAAGAACACAAAUGCAUCGUCAAACACGUGAAUAAUAAAGGAGGAGUUGAUCAAGAGAUUCUGUUUCCUGCAACAAACAAAGUGGAGGUAACAUCUCGUCCCACCAAAGCUGAACAACUUUUCUCAGAAGCACUGGGGCAGCAGCUCACCAGCACCUCUGCCUACUACACCUACCUGCUCCUGCUCCUCAACAGCGUGGUCUACUUUGCCUUUGCCGCCUUCUGUCUGUUUAGAAGAACAGCUGUCUGUGGUGAUGGGAAGAGUUCCUAA
Molecule: non-coding RNA, 930 nt
Organism: Cynocephalus volans (Philippine flying lemur)
Lineage: Eukaryota; Metazoa; Chordata; Mammalia; Dermoptera; Cynocephalidae
Source: the annotation of a RefSeq genome assembly